Molecule: ribosomal RNA, 256 nt
Filed under: uncultured Gardnerella sp.
Lineage: Bacteria; Bacillati; Actinomycetota; Actinomycetes; Bifidobacteriales; Bifidobacteriaceae
Description: partial 16S ribosomal RNA
Rfam family: Bacterial small subunit ribosomal RNA
Source: RNAcentral
CGAACGGGUGAGUAAUGCGUGACCAACCUGCCCCAUGCUCCAGAAUAGCUCUUGGAAACGGGUGGUAAUGCUGGAUGCUCCAACUUGACGCAUGUCUUGUUGGGAAAGUGUUUAGUGGCAUGGGAUGGGGUCGCGUCCUAUCAGCUUGUAGGCGGGGUAAUGGCCCACCUAGGCUUCGACGGGUAACCGGCCGGAGAGGGCGGACGGCCACAUUGGGACUGAGAUACGGCCCAGACUCCUACGGGAGGCAGCAGAA